Molecule: unclassified non-coding RNA, 361 nt
Filed under: Hevea brasiliensis (rubber tree)
Lineage: Eukaryota; Viridiplantae; Streptophyta; Magnoliopsida; Malpighiales; Euphorbiaceae
Source: RNAcentral
AUCCCCUCACCAGCUUUCUCUCUCUCUAAAACUCCAAAACUCCACUACAGGAGACUCACAAAUUCGAUCCUCAACAAUCGGUUCUCUCUUCGUCAUGAGCUCCGCCGGAUCGAUCUCCACCAUCUGCAUCACCGGCAGGUAUCCAAGAUCUUCCAUCAGUAGUACUGAUAGUAUCAAUUUCAGCUUGAGAGGCUUCAAUUCAUGGCGCGGGAGACCGACAUUGACGCGGAGAGUCACCGGCCCCUUGCAGGUUGUUUGCAAGGAUUGUCCGAGGCCGGAGCUCGAUAAUACGGUGAAUUUUCUUGAAGCGGCUAAGUUGUCGGCUGAGUUUCGGAGUCGUGCAAGGCCGGAGAAACCGCUG